UGGGGGAUAUUGCACAAUGGGCGAAAGCCUGAUGCAGCGACGCCGCGUGGGGGAUGAAGGCUUUCGGGUUGUAAACCUCUUUCGCUAUCGAACAAGGCCCGCUUAGGGUGGGUUGAGGGUAGGUGGAGAAGAAGCGCCGGCUAACUACGUGCCAGCAGCCGCGGUAAUACGCAGGGCGCGAGCGUUGUCCGGAAUUAGUGGGCGUAAAGGGCUUGUAGGCGGCUUGUUGCGCCUGCUGUGAAAACGCGGGGCUUAACUUCGAGCGUGCAGUGGGUACGGGCAGGCUUGAGUGUGGUAGGGGUGACUGGAAUUCCAGGUGUAGCGGUGGAAUGCGCAGAUAUCUGGAGGAACACCGAUGGCGAAGGCAGGUCACUGGGCCAUUACUGACGCUGAGGAGCGAAAGCAUGGGUAGCGAACAGG
This 420-nucleotide ribosomal RNA is filed under the name bacterium. RNAcentral's name for it is "partial 16S ribosomal RNA". It matches the Rfam family "Bacterial small subunit ribosomal RNA", at positions 355 to 776 of the family's 1533-position model. The record is from RNAcentral.